Acipenser ruthenus (sterlet) is the source of this 1492-nucleotide long non-coding RNA. RefSeq lists it as uncharacterized. The record is from RefSeq and is a predicted model, not a curated record. NCBI's taxonomy places the organism in Eukaryota, Metazoa, Chordata, Actinopteri, Acipenseriformes, Acipenseridae. The transcript has 3 exons.
GAAGGCGGGACAUUGUCCAACUGCUCAGAAAGUGCGAAAACCAAGACAACCAGAACUCUCCCCUCACCACACUGUAAGCAGAUCUCAGAAGUAACGGCCAGUGUACCAUCCAUUGAUUUUUCCACUGUGACCUUCAGAUCAAAAAUAAUUUCCCCAAAACCCACGAAGAAGAAGGCCCAUACCCUUCAGAAUCUGGAAAGUUGGAACAAGUACCCCUGUGUAGACACUUGAGAUACCUCCUGUAAGCCCUGGACGAUUACAGGAAAUUGAGUGUUUUAAGUACUGUACCAAUAUAGUACACAAAAACCUGCACUGUAUAAUCCUGGCAUAGGGAAGGGUUUGCUAAUGUCCAUAUUUACAUAUUGAAUAGAUAGCUUUUAAAUGCAUACCUGUUUUAUAAUAUGUACAUAUCAGAUCAUUAUAGAUGGCAAAAAAGGCAUGUUGAUAACUUAACCCAGAGCAAAAAACAAAGAACUGUACAGAUUACAAGACUAAGUUCUAAGUGAGUUCUGAGAAAAUGCUACACCACUGUCAUUUAGAGAGGCCAGGUACUGUCAACCACUUAAACAGCCAGGUCACCAUUUACCUGGGGCCAAUUAACAAAAUGAAAACUGUUUAAGACAGCUGACUCAGUUUAAACAGAGAGUCAUGUCAAGGAGUGCCAUUUCCAUGGGAAUAUCCUAUCUGGCUGUGAAAAUAACUGAAGCUCCUUGGAAGGCAAGGCACACAAUGUGCACUGAUGACAUGUCUGUAGGGUAUGAUGCAGGAAAGAGUGUUUAGACUUUGCGUUUUCAUAUUUACUCAUCACAGCAUAUAAAAAAGGUCUGUAUUAAAGAUUUAUAAAACUGCUCCGAGGAGCACCGGAGCAAACCAUGUAGUGUGCUCACUCACAGCUCGCAUUGAGCUCUAUGCUACAGUGUCUAUGUGCUCCGGCAUAACCACAGAGAGUCUGAAAACUGUAAAAUGAGAACCUCUACAUAGCCUGACUGAAUGACAGAAGCCAUUUUCACACAGCAGUGGAUGCUGCUGUUACAUAGCUUGAUAUAAUGUAGUCUAAUUGCAAGUGACAUUAUAAGUGCAAUGGCUCAGUGUAUUGACGCUAAUUUUGUGCUGGGGAACAAGCUACAUUGAAGAUGCGAUUGAAUAGCUUUGUGAUUAGUGAAUGCAGCGCCUUUAUCUAGUGAUAACCUGAUGAAUUCACUGUCUCAAUUUUCUACCAAGACAUUGGACAUACUGUAUUGCACGAUUACAGAUAUAGCUGUGAAAGCACAUUUACAAACAAGGUUCAUCAUGCAGUAAUAUGCAUUUAAAACAUACCAAUGUAUGUAAUUCUAUGGAUCCGUAAGAUAAGAAAAAAAAAACAACCGAUGUUGAAACACUGAUUCAUAGAGCACAAUAUAGCCUAGAAAUUGAUGCAGUUUGUGUGGAUUUGAUUUGCAGUUAAAUUAAUAAACUAUGUGGCAGUGAAAGAUGAUCAAUAAAAAGUGUUUCA